RNAcentral lists this long non-coding RNA (1819 nucleotides) under Nicotiana benthamiana. RNAcentral's name for it is "long non-coding RNA (NBEN_LNC002793)". Lineage: Eukaryota; Viridiplantae; Streptophyta; Magnoliopsida; Solanales; Solanaceae. The record is from RNAcentral.
UACUCUCUCCUCGCUCCCAGCGAGCACGAUGUCAGCGAAACGAGGAAUGUCACACUGAUCCCUCAGUUGGGCGAUGCCUACCUCUCCCAUCAAUGGGGCUUCUUCUACGUGAUCCUCUCCUUCAUAGUCUGAGAAGUCAGUCGUCGGACUGCGGGGCAGAGAAAGAAUGUCGGUCACCGACGGGAGCCUGUCAUUAUCCGUAGAAUCGGUGGUCCUCACCACCGUAGACGAACCCUCAGCCGCCAGAACCGCCAUCGGAACAAUAUCGGAACGAGAGCUAUUCACCAUUGUCAAUAUAUUAAUAGGAAACGAGCAAAGGUCACCGGAAAAGCAAGAGGAGGCGAAGAUCGAACGAUAAACGACAAAGAAUGAAGUAACAAGGAGUAGAAGAUGAAGUAAUCUAAGAACAAGAAGAGCUGUCUCUCUCAGAAUUUCACUUAAGCAAAUAUUGGAAAAGUAAGAACCGGAUUAUACAACUCCUUAUUUAUAGACAAAGCAUAAAUGACUUUCACGAAUCCCAAAGGCCAUCAUUAACUUCCUGACCAACCGCAAAACGGUUCGGGUCUACAGUAACGGCAUCCUUAUGACAGAUACCACGGAACGGCCAUUCAACCGUCAAUUGGCACGACAUCCUUGAAACGGUUCUAACGGUCCUAAAACACUAAAAGCACGCCCAUGCGUCACUAAAUAUUUUACACCUUCCCUAUAUGCGGCAAGCACAAUCGUAUCCUCCCCAAACAUAUGUAAUUGGCUAUGGCCGUCCCUAAAUCAAUAGUGGCUACGGUCAUCUUCAAAGUAAUGCUGGCUAUGGCUGUCUCCGAAAGUAAUAUUGAUUGCACCUAUCUCUGAAGUAACAACGGCCACGGCUAUCUCGUAAGCGAGAACGGUCACGGCCGUCUCCUGAAUACGAAACAGCUACGGCUAGCCCCCCAAGUGAGGACGGUUACGGCCCCCUCCUAAGAGUGAACAUUUAAAACCUUCAACAACAUGCAACCAAGAUCACCAACUUGGCUCCAUUGCGGUUAAGGCCGUUCACAAUUGUAAGGCUACUGCCAUCUCCAGUAUAUAAACGGUUAAGGCCGUUCACAAUUGUAAGGCUACGGCCAUCUCCAAUGAAUAAAUAGCUACGGCCAUCCUCGAUAUGUAUGCACACGAUUCGACUACGGUCAAAGUCACCUGCAUGGCCAAGGCCGUCAGCAUAAAAUGGCUAAGGCCAUCAAUUUCAGCAGAACAAUCUUCGAUACAUAGACGGCUACGGUCGUCCUUGAUCCUGGCCAAAAGUCAUCCGACCUCCCUUUUUGAAUUCCUGGAACUACAGUCGACAAAGUCCACCCAUCGAGCUCAGCCAAGGUCCGACCUCGAUAAGCGGAGGGACUAUCUGUAUGGGUCAAAAUUAGAUUCGUGAUAAUUAGCUUGCCUAAUCGGCUCCCAAGCUUGUUCGGGCUAAUAAAAGGUAUAAUCACUUGCUGACAACUAUAUUCCGAGGUUACUCGACCUAAUUGAAACUACGGCCUAUUCAUUGUUUAAGGACGUCCCUUCGACGCAGCCACGGCCGUCUAUCGCCAGCUGGCGAGAUUCACAGCUAUAAAUAUUAAGAGAAAGAACCCUAAAAAGGGGGACUUCUUCUUCUUCUUCACCUCCACUUCUAAAAGAGGAGGAGGAAACCAUUGUAAGGUUCGGAACCCCUCCAUGGAGAGACAGACCAUGUCGAUCUCAAUCAAUAAAAGAUCUCCCCCUCCCUCUCAUUAAUUGAUAACAUUUUGUCUCUCACAUUUUCCGUCUGGUCUUAUGAUUUAUUACGACAUGCUAUGAUUGGCCC